AAGGACUUAAGUUAAGUAAACUUUUAACCUUCAAAGUUAUAAAUAAAAUAACAAUUUUAGGCCUUA
RNAcentral lists this transfer RNA (66 nucleotides) under Chorotypus fenestratus. RNAcentral describes it as "tRNA-Trp". Lineage: Eukaryota; Metazoa; Arthropoda; Insecta; Orthoptera; Chorotypidae. The record is from RNAcentral.